This is a long non-coding RNA of Chinchilla lanigera (long-tailed chinchilla), 835 nucleotides long. RefSeq lists it as uncharacterized. The transcript is spliced from 3 exons. The record is from RefSeq and is a predicted model, not a curated record. NCBI's taxonomy places the organism in Eukaryota, Metazoa, Chordata, Mammalia, Rodentia, Chinchillidae.
UCGCAUUCUCAAAGGAGGACUCUUGGGCACUGAGACACAUACGGUAAAGAAACAAAAAGGUAAAUUCUCUUUUUGAGACGGAGCAUGAUUGCGUAUGACCACUAGGGGGCAGUCACGACGCUGAGGAUGGUGCCAGGCAAGCGCUCCGCUCAGAACCGUAAAACGAAAGCUGUGUCGCAGGCAGGGUUCUGAAAAAAGCAUUCGUUUGUUUAACAAAUAAGAAAAGAGGGGAGAGAAAGAGAAGGGAGUAUCUUCUUGAUCGUAUUCAUGUAACGCUAAAGGGAAAGGGCAUUAAAAAUAUCACGCGCACGUCUGCGUGCGAUUUCACGGGCACACAUUUCCAGGACAGCGGGCUUCUCCUGGCGCCAUCCGGAGGGCAGUGGUAGGACAGUGAUUCAGCACAUAUGCGGUAAGGAGGUCGGUGCCCGCUCCACUCUGCGAUCUAACCUGCCUACCAAGCAGCAAAAGAUCAAGGGGCUGAGCUGCCGCAGCACGACACGACGCAAACCACUGGCUGCAAGCUUCUGUAACAGUCCAGCGCGGCCCUGGUGGUGUCUGUGCAGCCACAUGUAACCCCACCAGAUGUGCCAGCUGUUUGACCUCUUCGCCAGCGACAGUCCCUCUUAAGGUCUUUCAACAUUGCCGGACAAUGUGAAUUAAUGCUCUUCAAUAGGAUGUAUUGAUGGGUCAGGCACAACACAGCAUCUCUCACAUUAGAGGGAUUUCUUAGGAAGGAAGGUGGAAAGAAAACUUCAAAAACUUAAUGUGAUCAAUUACUAUAAAACAGCACCAAAAGGAUUAUGAAAAAUAAACGUGGAUGUGCUUAUGUCCAAAA